CCUGAGACAUUGAUACAAGUACUAAGACAUUUGCAAUUUGACAAAAUGAAUGAGAAAUAUAAUUCUGUUAUGAACAAUUGCAAAGUGGUUUGGAGAUUUGUCCAUGUUCUUUUGAGAAUGUAAUUUCAGUUUCAAGAAAUGAGCCAAACCAAUGGAGAAAAAAAAUGUAAAACCAAUUAUGAACAUUACUCGGUUAUGAGAGACCUUAACUAAUCUUUUUCGCAUACUUUAUCUAUGGUAGUAGCUAUGCCUUAAGUUCAUACUUUCCAGAUGUUACAUUUCCAAGGGAUAGUUUGCUGCUUUUUGUACAUUUUAUUAAUGAUGAAUUAUCAUAUUAACAGCUGAAUAUUUUUAUUUCAAACUGAUACUGUCCAACAGGUCAGUCUAAUUUGUUUCUGUGAUCAUUCAGACUUGUCGCUUUUUCCAGUCAAGUUUAUGUUCCUCUCAGUGAAGCUGAGCAGGCCUUUGAUUUACAGAUGAAAAAUAUAUGUAGCUAUCACAUUAUAUGUAGAACAGGCUCUUUCCAGUAUCUUUCUUUAAAUGUUUAAUUGUCCUGCCCUGAUUUUAAGUCUAAUUAUAAGUUUGCUAAAUGACGAAACUGUAAUGAUGAUGCCUCUUUUUUUAGGCCUACUGUGCCAAAUCAUCCUACCUUCACCAAGGAUGUGAUCCUAUUGCCUGAUCCCACGUGGGACAGAGUAUGCAAACAUAAAACAAAAAGGAAGCUGCAUGAAAGUGGGUAUAUUUUAAGCGCUUUUGAAAUGAGGAAAGCAUGGGACAGUGGGACGGUCAUUGCAGAGUUAAGAGAGGCAUUCAGAGACCGAAUUCCUGAGGAUGUCAGUAUUGAACUUUUAAUGUCAUGUGGAAACACACUGAUAUCACCAAAGUUGCACCAGGGACAGGAACUUAGCGGCUUGAUUGUUCACAAGAUCUUCAAGUCAAAGGCGAUUUAUCUGAGGCCAUCGAGCAGUCUUCCAUUUUCGGUUGACAACUCAGACCCAGAAGACAACUGUGUAGAGGUGGACACUGCACAAACAUCUACCAGUUACCAUAUGACUACAAGGGCCAGGGGAAACGAUACUGCAAAAGCGCCGAAUAUUUCUAUUCGUCCUUUUACAAGAGCAAGAGCCGAACAGCCCUCAGCAACACUACAAGUAACUGAUGCUCUUGUGAC
Molecule: long non-coding RNA, 1171 nt
Organism: Acanthochromis polyacanthus (spiny chromis)
Lineage: Eukaryota; Metazoa; Chordata; Actinopteri; Pomacentridae
Exons: 3
Source: RefSeq, a predicted model, not a curated record